CAGUGGCGAACGGGUGAGUAACACGUGGGCAAUCUGCCCUGCACUCUGGGACAAGCCCUGGAAACGGGGUCUAAUACCGGAUAUUACCUUCCCCUGCAUGGGGGUUGGUGGAAAGCUCCGGCGGUGCAGGAUGAGCCCGCGGCCUAUCAGCUUGUUGGUGGGGUAAUGGCCUACCAAGGCGACGACGGGUAGCCGGCCUGAGAGGGCGACCGGCCACACUGGGACUGAGACACGGCCCAGACUCCUACGGGAGGCAGCAGUGGGGAAUAUUGCACAAUGGGCGAAAGCCUGAUGCAGCGACGCCGCGUGAGGGAUGACGGCCUUCGGGUUGUAAACCUCUUUCAGCAGGGAAGAAGCGAAAGUGACGGUACCUGCAGAAGAAGCACCGGCUAACUACGUGCCAGCAGCCGCGGUAAUACGUAGGGUGCGAGCGUUGUCCGGAAUUAUUGGGCGUAAAGAGCUCGUAGGCGGCUUGUCACGUCGGGUGUGAAAGCCCGGGGCUUAACCCC
Molecule: ribosomal RNA, 509 nt
Filed under: Streptomyces sp. 310E03
Lineage: Bacteria; Bacillati; Actinomycetota; Actinomycetes; Kitasatosporales; Streptomycetaceae
Description: bacterial SSU rRNA
Rfam family: Bacterial small subunit ribosomal RNA
Source: RNAcentral